RNAcentral lists this ribosomal RNA (497 nucleotides) under uncultured bacterium. RNAcentral describes it as "partial 16S ribosomal RNA". It matches the Rfam family "Bacterial small subunit ribosomal RNA", at positions 28 to 507 of the family's 1533-position model. The record is from RNAcentral.
GAUGAACGCUGGCGGCGUGCCUAAUACAUGCAAGUCGAGCGAACAGACGAGGAGCUUGCUCCUCUGACGUUAGCGGCGGACGGGUGAGUAACACGUGGAUAACCUACCUAUAAGACUGGGAUAACUUCGGGAAACCGGAGCUAAUACCGGAUAAUAUAUUGAACCGCAUGGUUCAAUAGUGAAAGACGGUUUUGCUGUCACUUAUAGAUGGAUCCGCGCCGCAUUAGCUAGUUGGUAAGGUAACGGCUUACCAAGGCAACGAUGCGUAGCCGACCUCAGAGGGUGAUCGGCCACACUGGAACUGAGACACGGUCCAGACUCCUACGGGAGGCAGCAGUAGGGAAUCUUCCGCAAAGGGCGAAAGCCUGACGGAGCAACGCCGCGUGAGUGAUGAAGGUCUUCGGAUCGUAAAACUCUGUUAUUAGGGAAGAACAAAUGUGUAAGUAACUAUGCACGUCUUGACGGUACCUAAUCAGAAAGCCACGGCUAACUACGUG